This is a long non-coding RNA of Erinaceus europaeus (western European hedgehog), 320 nucleotides long. RefSeq lists it as uncharacterized. The record is from RefSeq and is a predicted model, not a curated record. Lineage: Eukaryota; Metazoa; Chordata; Mammalia; Eulipotyphla; Erinaceidae. The transcript is spliced from 2 exons.
UGCUGAUGAGUCUGAGGUCCUGCCAGCACCAGGUGACAGUGAUUAUGGCUCCUGCAGAGCUUGUGGCUGGAGAGCCUCCAGGCCACUGUCCCAGGGGACCAUCUGAUGGCCUCAACUCUCCCAGAGUCUCUGGUAGCCUUUCUUCUGAGCAGUCAGGAUGGACGGGCCCAUAGCUGCCCAGUGCACCAGCGAAGUCUAAGCAGUUUAAAAAGUUUUCAAUGAAGAAAGGGAGAUGGCAUUUUCAUGUAAUUCCAGCCUAAGCAAACCACAGAGACAAUGGAGAGGAAUGGAAAAUUGUGAUACAUUCAUCUGUGACUGUG